AGAUUUAUAGUUAAAUUUAUAACAUUUACUUUGCAAGUAAAAUUUACUACUAGUUUUAUCUU
Molecule: transfer RNA, 62 nt
Filed under: Blattisocius tarsalis
Lineage: Eukaryota; Metazoa; Arthropoda; Arachnida; Mesostigmata; Blattisociidae
Description: tRNA-Ala
Source: RNAcentral